Molecule: transfer RNA, 69 nt
Filed under: Graptopsaltria bimaculata
Lineage: Eukaryota; Metazoa; Arthropoda; Insecta; Hemiptera; Cicadidae
Description: tRNA-Ser
Source: RNAcentral
AGUUAAUUAACUAACAUAAGUUUUUACUUUGAAAGUGAAAAAAAGAAAAUAAAUGAUUUCUAUUAACUU